AAUGUGGCCCUAGUGUGCCUGGCCAACAGGGGCUUCCCGGAGGGCUGGAAGCUGGGUUGGAGGCUGGGGGUCGGGGGGGCCUUGCAGGGCAACCAGAGCCUGGAGGUCCUGGAGAAGGACGGUCACUACAGCUGGAGCAGCAGCCUCACYCUCCCCACUGACCAGUGGAGGAAGGCUGGCUCAGUCACCUGUGAGGCCACCCUAAAGGACCAGGCCCCCGUCACUCACACACUGGAGCCACACCACUGCUCCCAGUAGACACCCUGUACACAGAGAACACCUACCUAUCUGUCAUUCUAUCACUCUAAAUAUCUAUCUAGAGCUUCAACCCUGGUCAUCAAUCUGGGAUUCUGCAUCUUUAAAUUUGUACCUGGGUUUUAUUGCUUUUGCUUUUAGAUUGGAGAUGUUAACACAAUAAAAUACUUUGUAUUAAUGUCAAA
This is a non-coding RNA of Salvelinus sp. IW2-2015, 440 nucleotides long. The record is from the annotation of a RefSeq genome assembly. Lineage: Eukaryota; Metazoa; Chordata; Actinopteri; Salmoniformes; Salmonidae.